Molecule: non-coding RNA, 22540 nt
Organism: Equus caballus (horse)
Lineage: Eukaryota; Metazoa; Chordata; Mammalia; Perissodactyla; Equidae
Source: RefSeq, a predicted model, not a curated record
CUAAGCAGGGAGCUGGGAGGAAGGCACAAUGUGAGGGAAGGAGCCCUAAAGCUGGAGACAGGUCCCCACGCGUCGGUUUUGAGAGGCACUAUUGGUUUCAGAUAGAUUUCAUUCUUGUAUUGGAAGGAAGUGCUUCUUUCAUAAGGGAUGGAAAAAUAUCUACGUCUCUAGUGAAGGGCAGUUGCUCCAGGGUAGAGAAUGGUCUACAUAAAAAUGACGACCCGAUGCCAGGUGGAAUCACAUGGGGUUUAUGCUAAUAAGAGUAAUUGAAUUUAGAGCAAUAGCUGUGCGCUGUGAAUGGCUGUUGGAAGCCAGCGGCUCCUGGGGAAGAGACGUAAAGGGUUUCUAAUAUGCAAAUGAAGCCGGGUAUGAAACCCCCAGGAUAAAAGAAUCCCAUGAAUCUCAUUCAUCAUUUUAUUAACAGAGAUUCCACGUCUUGGCAUCUGUCCCAGGGGAAGAUGAGACAGAGAGGGAGAGAAUGAUGGAGAUGAAGAUUUACCUACUAUAAGUAUUUGAGUCAUGUUUAUAAUAAGCUGGAAAAUUGCUACUUGUUUUUGGCUGCUGUCACCGAGAUGAUAGCUACCCCAGAAUGGAUUAAAUCUGCCAGUUCAGCACAGACCAGUCUGGUCAGCGAUCAGUGAGGAGAGGCCCUUGAGAAGUCCAUGACAAUGACAGAACUGUUGGAAGAACAGUGCUCGUGUACAAAGAGAAUCUUGCACAGCCUCAGCACGUGGUAGUGCAUCAAGGUCUCUUGCUCCAGCGUGGUGUCCAUCCCGCAACUCACUUGUACCUACAAAUGCCCAGCAGCACGGAAGCAGAGUGGCCACUGACAAUGUCUAGAAGGAACUCGGUCUCUUUAUCUCUGGAAAUGGUCAUGCAACAAUGGAGGAGAGCCAGACCGGCUGCAACUUUCUUGCUAUCCAGCUAGGAUGAAAGAGGGACGGGCCAGAGAAGGAUUGAGAAAUGUAUGCAGAACCGCUGAAUUAAGCCAACUCUAAAAACCGCCAUUCUGUUGGAAUUUCCAGGUUCUCUCUCUUUCUCUUGGAUCACCCACCUGAAGGGAAGCCAUGUCAUCAGCAACCCCCUGGAGAAGACUGUGUGAGGAACUGAGGCCUCCUGCCAAUACCAAUGGUUCAUUCGUAACACUGCUGAGGGACCUGCUUCCAACACUACGGCUGCUCCUCCUCCAACUUUUUUGUUCCUAUCCUUGGUGCAAAGAGACAGUUGCUGCUUGGGCACUGUUUGUACUCCGGGAAAAGCAAAAGGUAAAAAUGGAGCACUAAUAGACCAUGAGAAGAGGACUCUGAAACAAGUCGAGGAGAGCCCUGUCUACACCCUCCCCCUGCUGGAACAUUUCUAGAUAGCAGGUAAAGUAGUAUAUAUUUAAUUUUGCAAUUAUGACUCUGUCCUCACACGUACAUAUACACACACUCACUCCGAUGUUAAAGGCCUCAUACUUUUCAAAAUAUAAAAUGGUACUUAGUCCAGAGUGCAUGUUUGGAAUACAAGCACUUGAUGUGCUGAACUAAGCCCAGUUAAGGUUUUUAACUACUGAUGAUGGACUUAAAAGGUGAAUACAGCCCCCAACUUUGCUCCUUAGUAAUUCCAGAGUUUCUCUACUGAUGUGAAGAGCAAUUUGAGCUCUCGGAGAGGCCCUUCUGUGAAUUCUCACAACUGGGCAUGAUGCUUAGUCAAUAUUUGUGGAUGACAGUGUGAGGAAUUAAAGAGAUUCUUCUGGAGUGCCUAGGGGAUUUAUUUCAACUUGACGUAUAGAAGAAUGUGAAAUUUAGAUAUGUAAGAGAAAUUAUAUGAGGGACUCCAUCUGAUUACUAAAAUUUUCAUUGUGCCCUGGGUUGCAAACACAUAAAUGGGUUUUUAAAGAAGAUUGAGAAGAGAGGAAUAUCAAGGGCAAGAGCCUGCAGCGUUCUAGAGGGAAUGGUUGGUCCAGGGCUCUAGCCACGGCGGGAACUGUCAUAAUGCCCUCAGGAGUGGUCCCCUGCCCAACACUGAGUAUUUCUUAGGGCAGUGUGGUCUGGGUGGGGUGUGCAUGUAUGUCAAGGAAAAUAAGAGUAUAUCAGUGAGGAGCAGGGUCAGUAUCAUCCUUUUUACUUCACAGCAUCUCAAGAAAGAAGAAAGCAGAGGAGAGGGGAGGAGAGAAAAGGGAGGGGAGGAGAAGGAAGGGGAGAGAUUUAGCCAAAGGAGUGAGGAAUGGAACAUGCAGCUGCAUAGGAAGAUUUCUAAGCAGUCCUUGGUUGAGGGAAGAAGGCUCAAAGGAGCAGUGAGCAUGCUGGGAGAGAGAAAAAUCCAGCCAUUUUGGGUGUGGGUAACAACUCACCCUCUGCUGGAUUCUCAGGGUCAGGGAUGUUCUCUGUUAUGAAAAGGGUUUUUUGGGUAGAGAAAAUGGAUUGAGAUUUGAAAGAUGGGGUCCUCUGCCCAGCAGAGGAAAGGUGGGCAAAGUCUGGUGCCCAGGCCUGCGUGGGCUGCAGUGCCUGUCUGCACCCCCAGGAGUGGGAUCUACCCUUCCUUUUCUCCACUUGCACUCACUUCUCCCUGCCCAUUCCCCUCCCACCAGUGCCGCUGGGUGGCAGCCACUGUUUACCCCAUACUCUUGUAAAUGAUGGGAAGAGAGAUGAGGAGGGUGGGGAGGUUCAGGGAAAACAGUCAUGGAGAGAGAUGGGGGCCGAGUCCCGCCCUGCACCCAGCCUGGCCUCUGUGAGACGUUGCCGGGAGCAGAAACUCCCUAGGCAGCAGAGCAGCCAGACUUCUUACAGCCUCCCCAGGGGGACGUGGUGGGUGGAGAGGGCCUCUCGGAUCAGCUCAGACUCUAUAUUCCUUAAAAGGAGCCUGGGGGAUAUGCACCUUCCUUGAGCAUCACAGCCGAGUCCAGCUCAUUUUGGAGUAACACAGAGUGGGGCCAAUCCCAGUUUGGGAAGGAGAUGGGACAAAGGAACAGAGCGUCUCUGUCUCCUUGUGGAACAGCUAAGCCGUUUCAGGCUCUAUCCUGUUUCUCUUGUUCCCACUUUUGAGGACUGAGAGCCCGUCAUGAACCCUUGCACAGAGCCUGGGUUGGGAAAGGCUAUGCCCUGGGUGCUUAGGGGACCUCAGAGUUUAGCUGUGCAAGGACACAUUGUACGUGGAGUCUCUGUUUCCUUGAGGUAUUGCAUCUUCUCGUAUGUGUAGGAGGAAGUGAGCUGGGUGUUUGGAGGAAGAGGAGAGAGGUGCAACUGGUUGGAUUUAGGGGUGGAUGAAGUAAUGCUGUCAGAAUCUCAGUGAUGUGCAUAACCUUGGGCUGUGUGGGGCCCGGAUACGGGAGCCACUGGAGAGCUUAUCCUGAGAAACUCUGGCAAGGGACAGGGUUGAACUAUUUUUGGGAAGUCAGACCCAACUGAUAGGUAGCAGCAAGCAGCAGGACUCAGGGGCAGGAGUCAAGGGCUCUGUCUGGCACUUGUGUUCUCAUUCACAAGCUGCCAUGUUUGCAUUCCUGAUUCUCUUUUCCAAACUGUUGGUAACCCCCUUCCCUCCCUCUUUAACCCAUUUAAAUAUGGCUUUAAUGGUGGUUGUCCUGUUGUAAUCGGGAGUGGGCAGGGCAUCUGUUCUCUGAUGGAUGUGACAACUUUGUCUUCCAGAUGAAUUUCACCACGAAUUUUUCAAGUUCUAGAAUGGACAAGUGUGAGUAUUAAUUAGUACCACAUAUCCAAACCAUUUACUUUUUCUCUCUCCAGUUGUUCCUGCUCCUUUUGUUUUUUCUUUUUAUGGUUUUGAGACUUUCUUUGCUUUAAGAAAAUCUCUUUUAGUUCGGGGAUGUGUAACUUAUCUAGUAUUUAAUAUCCUUAGUUGUGAUCUUAGAGUGGAAUUCGGUCAAUAUAUUAUCCAACUAUUUCAUAAACGUAUAGAAAUACAAUUUUUUUCUUGUAAAUUUAUCUUAUUUGACUUUCUUCUCAAAUAUCAAUCCCAAGCAUUGUUGGGCCUAUGUUACUGAGAAAAAGCAUGUUGCGAGCUGAGCUGGAAGAUAGUUUCUAGUCUCCAUUCUUAUCUUUUUCUUCCUUUGUGACUUGUGAUAAGCCGUUUAACUGUUCUGAGCCUUUGGUCACUAUUUGGGAAAUGAGACAGCAAUCCAUCUCUUCUACCUCACUAUGCAGAUUUGAUUUGGAGAACUACGCACAUAUACGCAACCAAACUGUGCCAAGGUCCCUCUGUCAUUGGUGAAACCAUGAUUUAGCGUUUGGUAAGAUUCCAUGCCUGAGAUGCUUGGUCUUUUCUUCUCCAUAGUUGAUGCUGAGGGAAAGAAUGGGGAUUUCUUAAUAUUGAUGGGUCAUGGCACAUGACCCCCUCGGGGCUUGGUAUUGCCUGUGAAUAGAUAUCGCUCAUCUUUUCCUAUGAUGUGCAUAUCAGACAUUGUCUAUUUGGCUCCUGCUAUGGUCUUGCCGUUGGCUGCCUGUGCUUUUACCUUCAGCAUCACCAGAACAAUGUUCAGUUGAACUGGAGUUCAUAUUCAAUGAACUCUAAAAAAAACCAUUUGACACGACCUCCAAGAGCAUGCGUGGUUUAGUCCAUGCCUGCCUCUCCAGCUUUAUUUCUCCCAGGCCACUCUCUCUACUGUUGGCAUCUUAAGUAUGCCACAUUUCUUCUCUGCACUUAGGCAUUACUCCUGCAGUUCCUUCUACCUAGAACACAAUUGCCCUCACUCUCCUCCUACCCAUUUCAACUAGGUGAUUCUUGCUCAUCUUUCAGAUUUCGGCUCCAUGGUUCUUAGAGAAGCCCCUCUCCUAGAUCAGGGCUUUAUGCUCUCACAGUGCCAUGUACUGAUCCUCUAAAACCUCUAUCUCAGAGAAGUUUCAUAGAGUUACUUGUGAUCUUCAUCAGGCAGGAGCUAUCCUUCUGCUCACGAUUAUGUUCCUAAUGUCCAGCAUGCAAGAGAUGCUCAAUAAGUAUUUGUUGAAUGAAUCAAUAAAUGAGUGAGUUUAGUGUUUGAAACUUGUUACCAGUUUGUGCCUAUAGAGGGAAAGCAUCGGGACUUGAUGUUGUCCUGAUUCCCAGUGAAAACCCUUUGCAAGCACUAGCUCAGCUCUGGAGACAGAGGCAGCCGUGACUCCCACCCAAUGAGCAAAGAGUCUGUCAGCUCAGCGGCUGGGGAAGAAGUUGGGCUUCCUUUUUCCAGGGCAGACCCCCAGCAGAGCCAUGGAGUGGUCGCUUUGCCUUCUGGCUCAUUGGCCCCUUUGGGUCCUCACCCUCUUGGGUGUCCUGGACCCUCAGCUCUUCUUUCAUAUCCUUGAAGGCCCCUAUGCCUGCAUCCCUGCUCUCCUCUGUCUCUGGCAACCUUUCCAGCCCUGGCUGUAGGGCCUAAAGAGUCCCUCCAUCUCUGAGCUCCUUUUUGGGGUGUCUGUAUUCUUCCCUGGACUGUGAAUUCUGCCCUGCUCUGGGGCUUUGCUUCAACCGUUACUUUCAACUGCCAUCAGAAUGUUCUCUCCUUAAAAUUCUCAGGGGUUGGCACCCUGGUUCUGUAGCUGGGUGGAUGACAAGCCUCGAGCACAGGGUCCAGGCUUUCAUCUUCUGAGUAGGCUCAGCCUUCAGUAUACAGUAACUAUACAGCAACGCAUCGUGAUUCAAUUCUUUAAUUGAACUCUUACUCAAAUUUUCAAGGCAGUCAUGGCCGCCUGCCUGACUCCUCUGCUAUGGUUUCACCACCUCACUGGACUCUCCCUGCCUGCGAAGAAUCCUCUUGUGGGUACAUUGGCAGACCCAGCUGAGGAAAGUUGGGGUCCAAAGGACUUCUUGCCUUUUCACUUGGCCCAGGCCCCAAGGCAACUGUGACUCUAGGCAGUAACUGCCCCUGGUUGAAACUGCCCCAAAGCUUUCUUCCCUCAAGAUUGCAGCGACUUCUGCUUCUCCACCCUCAGGGCUGGGCCAGGCCUUGGAGGAAGAGGGCAGCCCAUGCCGGUGGCUCAAAGAGAUAGUGAAAAGGUGUCGCUUAUAGUGGCUUCCCCUGGCGUCACUGCAUUUAGAUCUAAGAAAUAGGAACUUGUGCCUUCCCUACCCCCACAAAGGCCUCAGGCAUAGCCAACUCUCCUCUGGGCUUCUGUCUCAGCUGGGAAAUUUAGGGAUCCCUCUCUUACUUGAUUGUAUCCUUAAUAAAGCCCUGAUGUUUUGUACCAAGGAGACACCCAUUCAAUCAGAGCUGGCUUUGGGCCUCACUCUUGCUACUUCUGGAACAAGGCACUGUUCAUUCUUUCCUCAUUCAUUCAUUCUUCCAUUCAUUCAUUUCAUAUCUGUUGAACACCCUAUAUGCCAGGCAUUAGAUAGGUACAAGGGGUACAAAAAAUGUCAGACAAACAGAAACAGACUUCAGCUUCAGAGAGCUCCUGGUCUAAUGGACCCCCUUGUGUGAAGGGAGCAGGUUGUGAGGGGCCCCUGGCUGGAAGGAGGUGUAGGGGUUAAGGGUGUAAGCUGAGGCUGGGAAGGGAAGCCAAGAUGUUAUGAGAACUUGCAGACCAAGUUUACAAUUUAAGCUUUUAGCCUCGAAGGCUUGGGGAGCCAUUGAAGUCUUUUAAGACAAGGAAAGAAAUAAUCACAUUUGGGUUUUUUAAAAAAGAAGACUCUAGCUGCUGUGGGAAACACAAGUUAGAAGAAGGCAGGAGUAGAGAUGAGUCAGGAUCCCCUUGGGCAAUGCUGGCAGCGACGAUCGGAGGGGCUUGGGGAGAAAUGGUUGGAAAUGUAACCCGGGUGGAGGACAUUGACAGGCCAUGGAAUGGAUUGCACGUGGGCUGAAGCACAGGGAUGGUUUACUGUGAAAGAAAACACUGGAGGAGGGCUCAUCAGAGGGACACAAUUCUAAGUUAGGUUUGGGACAUGUUGAGAUGAGGUGCCUUUGAAAGGAGGAGGUAUUCAAGGAUGGAGCUCAUGGGAGAGACCUGACCUGUAGACAGAGGUUGGUGAAUUAUCUGCUUAUAUGUAAUUACUCCAUGGGCAUGGGGGAGCUUGCCUAGGAGAAAGACUGGAAAAGCGAGGGUGCCUUAGGGGAAUGGAGGAGGAUUUCUCAAAGGAGGCUGAGGAGGAAUGGCCAGAGAUAUAGCAGGAAUGCCAGGAAAUUGUACUGUCACUACAGGCUUGAAAGAGUAUGUUUGCUUCUCUCCCCAGCCAUUCGCCUGGGGAGAUGAUUUUGUCACAGACACAUCUCCUUCAUCUUGAAGGUGAAAUGUAGGGAGAUGGGUAGGAAACCACUGUCAUCUGGGAAAGGCAUGACGGUGUUCUCAUAGUCUGAGCAGGAGACCAAGGAAUGCUCUGGCAAAUUCCAUUAGAUUUGGUGGCAGGGAGAGGCAUAUCCCAGAGUUGUGGGGCAGGCAUGAAGAAACUUUUGGAAAUUCAAGACUGGAUGGCAGCAUUUUCUCUGUCUACGUGUCCAUGGGCUAUAAGCCAGGGAUGUUAUGAAGAACGGGAACAAGGAAGACAGCGGGCAGGAGAUGAGGAGGCUCUUCAGAGUGGUUGUGGGCAUUGAGAAGCCUGAUUUAGGGAGGGUAGUCAGAGGGGAGAGCAAGACCAGCUCUGACCACUGGCAUCCAAGAAGUGCCAGCUUCCACGUCCUGUUGGGUUGUGAGAUAGGCAGAAGCUCUUUUUUUCCUGGCUUAGCCAUGUUUCUUAGAGAAGCAAGAAGCAGAGGAGUUUGUCACUAUAAAGGUAAGAGAAAAGUCAGAGGGGCAGAGAGGAUGGAAUAAGGGAAACCAGUGAGGUCCCCGAAGGGAACAGGCUGGGAAUGCAGGACUGUUAUUCCAUAUUUAUGUGGGCUCUGAGAAAAUCUCUGAAGCCCAUCCAGCCCCUCUGCCUUCCCCAGCCUUUUUAGAGCUGCUCAGAGCAUCUGUGGGGUGCAGAGAAAAGGGGCUGUGGAGAGGCAGGCUGAGAGAAGCUGGGAAGGGUCAAUGCGGGCCCCAGGUAAAGAUGACCUCAGCAGAUAGAGGCAGCCUGUCAGAUCCCCUCCACCACUCCCUGGGCCAGCAAGCCACAGCUUGGGGCAGGCUGGUCCCCCUCAAAGCCCUGGGUCCAAUCGCCAUCUUAUGCCUGGCCAUUCCAGACAGAUCUAUCUGGAGUCCCUCAGGGUGAAGCCCCAUCACAUGAAGGCAGGGCAGUCCUGCCAAGGUGCAGGCUUGAGGCCAUGGCUGCAUGAGGAGGUGGGAGCAGUAGGGGGUGGGGAAAUGGGGCAAAAAGAGCACUUGCAGACCCCCUUUGGGGUGUGGCUUCAUUUUGUCCUCCAAGACAAGACAUAUGUUGGCAUAAAGAAAUAGAUUUUCAAGAGGAGGCAGGAGGCUCAGCAUGGGCACCAGAGGAGGAUGCCAUGACUUUGAAGGGACAAUUUUGGAGUGAUUCUCCCAAGGAUGGGGGGUCAGUGCUGCACUUACAGCCCUAAGUUCCUCACCUCAUAGGGUUGUUGUUGUUGUCCGUGAAUUUUUAAACAGAAUCCUUAGAACAGCCAGACACACCACCGAUGUUGGUUAACAUCACAAUUUCCUAAGGCAUUGUCCAUUUAUGUGAAAUUCUUGGACUUUGUGGGUACAAACCACAUCUCCUAUUGAUGUGGCCCCCUAUGCUGCUCAAAAAGUAGGCAUUCCAAGUUCAUGAGUGAAUAGUAAUGACGAUAAGAUUCGCUUUUAGGGUUACAUAAUUAGGGUCAGUUUGGAGAAAUUUUUUUCCAAGAAUGCUUAUUAGAGCAGAAGGGAUACAGAAUUAGGAGUCAGAAGACCAGAAAUAAUUUGAGUAUUUCCACGUGCUGCAACCAGUGCUGGGGGCUGGGACUUCAAUGGCCGUCAAGAUAGAGAUGGUACCUGCAGUAACAGAGCUGGUGACUCUGUUGGGGAGACAGACAAAAAAGAUGAGUUAGAAAAUAAUUACAAAUUAUGACUAAUGCUAUGAAGGGGGAAAAAACCCAGUGGGAACAGUAGGAUGGAUGUUACCUAACUUUAGGUCAUGGAAAGCUUCUCUGAUAAGGUAACCUGAAACCAACUAUUGGCCACCCAAAAGCAGGGGUGGGGGUGUUUAGGAGGUGAUAAGAGCAUUCUGGGUAGAAAAGGAUUUCCUUUCUCAAUUAGCUGAUCUUGGGUAUCUCUGUGAGCACCAGUUUCUACAUUUGUGAAAUGAGGAUAAUUCUACUUAUCCAGCUGACCACACAGGGCUGGUGUGAGGAUGAAAUGAUAUGAAAGAAUUUUGUUAACCACAGACUGAUGUAAAGACCACAAGUCUGUGAGGAAAGAACUCACUGAUAAUUUUCUUUCACUUUUUCUGUUCAUUAAAUUUGGUUCCCAUGUAUAACAUGACUGUAACUUGGGGAGCUCUCUCUGAGAGGGACAGUGGCUAAAGGUCAUGUUGAGAAGAAAUGACCAUAGAGUCAUGAAUAGCCGUGCAAGGAGAUGACGUUGUUGGAGGUAGACAAAGGUGAUUCUCUGGACAGGGGAUGGCUGAGCUGAGUCUUAAACGAUGAGGAGGAGAUUCUAGGUUUUUGUAAAGCUGAAGAGCUGGAGAAAAAUUGAGGGUAGAGCAGUUGGUACAUAUUUCAGUAUUCUGUAGACACAAACGCUUCUAGGACCUGUCCUGGGGGAAGGGUGUGGUUAACAAUAGUUAAUCUUCACAAGCUCCCAUUAAAUGCUGCAAACAGGCAGAUAGGAUUUUCCCUGGCUGCUCAGAAAUGUGACUUCCAUCCAGUAGAUCAUCAACAGGUGUUUGAUGAAUUGAAGGACACUCCAAAGAUGGGAGGCAGCCGAGGAAGUCACUGCCAGGCUGUCCUGCAAUCCCUUGGCUAUAAAGGAGUACGUCAGAUCAGGAUCAAAACUUUCUGUGGGUUUGCAAAAACAACUCAUUUCAUGUGCACAGUGAAGCAAGACAAGUACUAAAAAUGAACGAAUCCAGGAACGGCCCUCUGGGGAGAAGGCCAAUCUCCUUGGGCUGGACAGUUGGACAGUGGGGCAUCAGCCACAGCUACAUUUCCUCCAUUUGGUCUGAAACUCAUGGACUGUGCCACUCUGCUGAUUAUGUCAUAGGGUCACUGAGAACCUUGGUGACCACUCAGCCAUUGCCCACAGCUUCUGAAUGGUGUUCUCCAUGUGAGUCUUGUUGUAUUGGUGAUGUUGAGAAAAUUUAGCCAGAAAGAAGUAUGAGCCGGUUGGUGAAGAAGUUGCCUACAACAGGACGUAGCAAUGUCACAUCCUGAUGACAUUUUCUCAGCUACAUGUUCAUCUCAAAAGACUGAAACACUGAAGCAAGUAUUCUAGCAAAGGGGCUCUCAGGUGGCCUUCAGUCACCUGUCAGCAGUUUGUUGGGAGGCUCCGGACUCAGCAGGAACUUCUGUCAAUGGAAGGUCCCACCACCGCUCACGGGAGGAAGACCCCAUGUUGCCAAGUGGUGUGAAGGAGAAGGCGAAGCAGGGUUGGGUGACACCUCAGCCAUCCAGCAGUGCGGGGGAGAAAAUGCAGCGUCUCCAAAUUCAUUCUCAGCGGAUGUGAAUGGCCUUGCUGUUUCCUGAAAUUCAUCCACUUUCUCUCCCUCCCACCACCAACCUGGUUACCCUGUAGAUUACAAAUGCCAGCUGCCAGCUGUGGCCAGUUUACCUGAAGAGAACUCUGUUUGCAAUUCCAAUUUGGAUGGUUGGCAUUAUCCUCGCGACAUCACAGGCAAAAAAUACGUGCGAAAUUGAAUCAUUCUAGCAUGGGAAGGACUAGCCCAAGAGGAGAAAAAAAGGGGAGCUGGAUGCUUCUGGAUGCUGGCUCCACCCUUAGGUCACCCCAAGCUCGACAGUUCUACAAGCUCAGAGGAAGGGAAGGGAGGGUCAUGGGAAGAGAAACAGGCCUGGCAGAGUGGUCUCAAUGCCUGGAGGGACUCCGGCUGAGAACGUGAGAAGGCCCAAUCUCAUGGUGACCAAGCAGAUCUUCUGGAAUGACCUAGGGGGCCACUGCAUAGAUGUUCUCCCCAGCCUUGCUAUCACUCCACGAUGGUAAGUACUGAACAUGUGACAUGUACCUUUCUUUUUCCAGAACCGAACUCAACUAGCCCUGGACCCUCAGUUUUGCUGAGAGCAAAAUCAAAAUCAAAAUCAAAUCCUCCCUACUCAACCAUGAAAGGUACGUGCUGAGGCCGGCACUCAGAACAGUGCGCUGAGCUGGCUCAUGAACGUGACUUUUAAAAGCGAGGACUUUCUAAACCAGUCCUCUCAGAUUUGGCUCUUCUCAAUAAAGAAUUGAGAUGACUGGGUUGUAACCUUCUAUGCCAUCAAGGUAAGGAAUUCUUUGACAGGCACAGAUCAAUGUACCAUUGGAAACAUACCCCCUGGAAAAGCAAAAACCAGCCUCCAGUCAGGACACACGCAGUCAACGUGUGUUCCAGGAACAGAGAGCAUAAAUUCGGUUCCUUGCUUACCACCUACUGAGUCAGGCUUAAAGGGAGUCCUGGAUUAACGAGUGCUGUAUGGCCAACAGAGGGCUUUUAUGUUACAAGAUAAACAUGUGCUUUUUCAGGUUAUAGCACGUUCAGGAUAUCCUCCCCCUUCAGGGAACACGUCCAGAGAGGAUUUGCCGCUUCCUGGUGACUCAGGGGACCACACCAGCAUAUUUGGACUGUUGAUGGUCUCCUGGUGCCUAGGGGAAGACAGGACCAUGUGCAAGGGUGAAACGGGGCUGAGUAUGAGCAGACCAUGUUCAAUUGCAGUAGGGUUUCACUCGGUGCGAAGGAAGACAUCAGAGCCAAUUUGGGAGGCCACAAAUUUCCUUCUGCAUUCAGGCCAGUCCAGCCAGCGGAGCAUGCAGGUGUGUGUCCGUGUGUGGGUGGGUGUGUAUGUUGAGUAAGAAAAGUGCAAAAAUAUUACCUGUAGUGACUUUUGCUCUCCUUUACUCCCACAUCCAAUCAUUCAUCUCCUUGGAUUGGUGGUGUUACAUCCACCCACCCACUAGCCUAGUUCACAGUCAGGGCUGCCCAAUACAGAAGCCACGUGAGGCUAUUCGAACUUAAGUUUAAAUGGAUGUGAAUUAAAUAGAAUUAAAAACUCUAUUCCUCAGGUACACUGGUUGCAUUUCAAAUACUCAAUAGACGCACGUGGCCUGUGGCUACCAUAAUGGGCAGCACAGAUAUAGAACAUCUCCAUUACUGCAGAAGUGUCUAUGGGACUUUCUAUCAGUCCUUACAUAUUUUGUUCUGUAUGGUGGGUCCUGCCUUCUGGGAGCCUACAGCCCAGUAGGGAAACAGACAGUAAGCAAGGAUUCUCUCAAAUGGAUCAGCAGUAACAGUUUGUGAUCGUGCUACCAAAGGAAGAUGCUGGGUGCUUGGAGAGAGUCCAAUGUGAGCGAGGUCUAAGUGGAGGCCUAAAGAAUGUGUGGAGAAAAUGGUUUCCCACUAGAAAGUGUGUUCCUGUGGCACAGGGCAUGGUGGAGCGGGGACAAGGGUGUUAAAUGUACAGAGGGAGAGAAGGGGCGAGAGCAGUAGGAGGAUGGCAUUCCAGAAUGUCUCCAGGCUGCUCUGCCUCUGCUUUAUGUUUUCAAGCCCAAAUAGGUUCUGCUUUCUGAUCUAUCCUGCUCCCUGCUGCAUCCUCAGGCUCCCAAUCCAAAUCAGGUUUUACCCAAGAUAAUUGAGACUAGGAAACAUGAGAACUUUCAAUUCCUAAAAUUUAAAUUAAAUUAAAACUGCCAUCCUUUGCACAUCUAGUGGAAAAAGUCCAGCUCAAUUUGCUAACUGCCCCCUGGCUGAGGAAGAAAGGCAGGCAGCACCUGUGUGAACGAAUCUCGGGGACCACAUAUAGAGAACCACGUGACAUAUAGAGAACGCAGUGACUCGUGGCUACGUGGAGGAAGGAAGAGGAGCAUUAUGAAAAACCCAUUUCUCCCGGGAAAGAGCACGGUGACAGGAGAAAGGAGACCAAAUGCAAGUGAAAUUAAUUAAAUAGAAUAUCUGUAAUGCGGCUCUAAAAUUAGACCGCGCUGGCAGAGUUUUCAUCUGAACAUUAUUUAUGGAAUUAUUUUAUGACUUCCUCCCUAAACAGAUGUUUCAAGAACAAAAUCGUAAGGGAAAGCCAGCACUUAUAACAAAAUUUCCAAAUAAUAUGCUAGUUUGCCUAAUAAAAAGAAUAAACACAAGGGUGGACCUCAAUGUCUAAUUUUAAUAAGCAAAUAGGUCAAGUUGGAAAACAGCCACUAACCAAGGUUCCUUCCCAAAGUAGCGGAAUGAAAUGAACUCUAAGCUAGCCAUUCUAAUGAUAAAAACAAACAAAUGAUCAAAAGGGGAUCUUAAAACAAUUCAAACUUUGUUUUAAUAAUUGUCUUAGGAGUGAUUUACACAAGGAAGCAUUGAAUGAGAAAAGUAAGGAGCAGAGAAGAAAGCAUGUGCCAUUUUUGAAAAGCAACGAGAAAACCCUUAUAUAAAUAUGGAGAAAAUUGUGAAAGAUAGGUACGAGUUCAGGAUAAUAUGUAAAAUACAAUUCUAUUUUGGUAAAAUCAAGGAAACAGAAGUCCUAUAUGCGUGUUUGUGUAACUGGCUUACCAGCUAUUCAUUUCUCUUUUACUGUACUUCCCACAUUGUAUUGUCAUCGUCUGUGAAGAGUUGGUCUUUUCCAUGAGAACAGGUCUCUACCCUCAUCUGUGUACUCCCGGUACACAACUACAAUCUCUGGCACGCCUUAGGCAUAAGAUGAAUUGUUGUUGCAUAAAUGACACCAACCAGACCAAAUGACAAGGUUGUGGGAGGAUGCAUGGGAAGAAGCAGAGAAAUACAAGGGUUAAGGGCCAGAGAACCAUGACCAGGGUGUUCACUGCGAGGAGAGGUGGUCACAGGAGCUGUGAAAGGUGUUUGCCGGACUCAGAUUUGACACCAAAGCCAGCAUCAGCUCCAUAAUUUGCAGAAUCUAGUGCAAAAUAACAUUUCAGCGUCUCUUGUUUAAAAAUUAUUGAGAAGUUCAAGAUGGCGACUGCAGAGCAUUAAACCAAGCGUGGGGCCCUGUGCAAGUGCACCAUCACACACCUAUGAAGCUGGCCCUGACUAAAGGCAGUCAAGAGUCCUUGAUGGAUUUUAAGCAGAGGCAAGCUGAAAGAUCCCUGCAGGUGCAUUGUAGACAGUUGUUAGCAGGAGGCCUGGGGAAACUUGGAAGAAAACCGCACUAGCCAAGAAAGAUUAGGAGGACCUGAACAAACUCGCCAGAAGUAGAAGUGUUGGAGAGCUGCAGAAGGGUCCGAGAGAAAAUUAAGGAGUUAGGAAGCACUAUCCUAAUUGUGCUGAGAGUGGUGACUGGGGAGGAGAGCUGAGGAACAGGGAUGGGACAGCCAGGAAACCUUGCAAGUGUCCGCCUCUGACAACCAGGCAAAUCAAGCUGCAGCAGAGCCAGCCGGUGAGGACAUCCAACACGCUCUUGAGAAUGAUGGUAAAACUUUAAAAGUGAUAACACGGAUGUUGCCGUGAAAGAGUAGAGAUGACAUACUAAUAGGCUCAGAGGAGUCAGACAUCAUUUCCUUCAAAGAACGUGGGAGAAGAAUAGGGAUUGUCCCAUUGCAAAGCUGAUGUUUGUGCCGCAUCUCGAAAUACUGUUCCUUUCUGUACAAAGGACAGCGGUCAGGAGAGUUCAGAUAGACAGUCACGUGCCUGGGUGGGUUAAGGCUCUGUGGAAAGAACUGUUGGUGUUUGGGAUCACAGCCCUUCUGUGAGCCAGGUGAGUCCUAUUUACAGGUGAUAUAAAGGAGGCAUAAGGAAGCAAGGUGACUUUCCCAAGGUCACAAAGAAAACUAGAAAAUAAGGUCACCCCACUCCUUACCAAUUGACCACACUUUCUCCUGAAAAAGCCUUCUGUUGUUUAGACUAUGUUAAUAACCUAUUGAACUAUCAACAUGGCAAAUUCAACAGAAGGCAGGGUAGAUUCUAGGCGUUAGACCACUAAGGAUCUGAAGGGUAAACAGUCAAAUGAUUGGAGAGGAGCUGGGCUCCAGGGUUAGCUUAUUCAUAACAACAUGCUUCUGGCAAAGACUUGCCUCCUGAUUUUUUUGAUCAAGCAAAUCACAGAGCCAGAUUCACCCCACAAGUGCUCACAAAUCCGUGGAAGGAUUUUUUUGGUUAGGUUAUGCCUGAAUGCCCAGUAUUGUUAUGAGAAAGUGCAUGUUGGAACAUUUGCUUCUUUCUUAUUGAUGAACAGCUGUGGAUGACAGAAACGUAAGACUCAGGAGUUUCUGUCCCUUGGCCCCUUCAGUCCGUUCUGGUUUAAGAUGAUUACAUAGCUAUUUUAUAUAAUAAGAGCCAGCCGCAUGGGAGAGACAAAUGGUUUUAUUUCUCAAACCAGCAUCAUCAAGGAUUACUCAAAAGCAUUGUCUCAUCCGUCUUCGCACGAUUUUACUCUCAUAAUAGCUUGGAAAUGGGAAGACAUUUUUCACAAGGCUGACUUUUAAUUAGUUAGCGAUGGAACUGUUAACAUUGGUGCAUCCUGCAAACGUGGACAUUCAUUAUCUGACCCUUCUGGCCAUAGCUGCCCCAUAAGUUUCCAUUCAUCAUGGUGAUGUCUUGGAUAGUUCGGCUCUGCUGUUCCAGAAGCCUUCACAAUGGAAUCCCACACCCUGGACAGUAAGUGGUCAAUGAAACUACUUCCCAGAAUCUUUCCAAAGGAGCCACAAAGCCACUGUUCCUGACCAUGUAAUUUAUCAUCCAAACACUUCUGUCAUAUCCUGGAACACUUUUGAAAGUAAAAGAAGGUUUUGUUAAUAAUUAUGUCGUCAAUAAACAUAAAUCAAAUCUAAAUGAGAAAACCCAGGACGUAUGUUCAUUCUAACUCUUAUCAAUGUAAUUUCAAAGGUAAGCCAGCAAGCUUUUCCUACAGAGAUAAGCACCUUGCAUCCUACAUAGAUAUGUGUUCACCAAAGGUAGAAAUAAAAUGCAUCAGUCAACUGACAACUGAAUCUUAUGUUAGCCUUUUUUCCCUCCAUACAUUUGAAUCAGUUGACUCUCAAAAAUAGUCCUGGAUGUUCAGAAGACACUGGCAUUUUUUCACUUAAAGUUAAGGGCACUUAAAUCCCAGGACUAAAGAAAUUACUAUUGCAAGUGAAUACGUUUUACUUUGGCUCACUCCAGUCACUGUGUCUGGAAUUAUUAUUUAUUGAAUAAAUAAAUGAGGAGAUAAAUUAAUUUCAUGAAAAAUACAUCUGGUUGCGUCUGAUCUUCUCUGAAAGGUGUGUUGAAGAAUAAAUUGGCAAUGAUAGCCUAUAAGCACUUCAAUGUAGCAAAGAGAGAAGACAAUGCCCAUUUCAACGUUUACUAUGUGCCAGGUAGUAUUCGAGGCCCUUUAUAUAAGCUUUCUAUUUUAAUCCUCAAAACAGUCCUAUUAGAUAUUGUUACCCUCAUCUUACAAUUGAGAAAACAAAGGUUCAAGUUAGCACAGUAACUAAACAGAUCAGUUACAUGAUGGCCCAAACCAUGGGCGUCUGAUCCUACAACUCAACUUUUUUCCUUUUCCAUCAUGGAUGAUUACAACUCUAUAUGGAUCACCCAAAGGAAAAAUCUUAGCAUUAAUAGAAAUUUUUAAAUAUUUCAAAGUGGGUAAGGGAAUUAAAGUUUAGAAGGAGGAUAAAAAUCAAUUAAAAUUAUAUAUGUGAAUACACAAAACAAAAAACGACUUUCGCAUUAUGUUAGAGUCUUAAGCACGUGUGUGUCCCAAUAUUAUCAGCCAUCUUUAUCAAAGAGCAUUUAUUAAGUGACAGUUUUCACAUGCUUUUCUGUGUCACUCACAAAAGGAACUAUAUAGAUUCCUUGUCCUUUCCUUUGGAGAGUGUCAUCCUCCGGGUAUUAGAUCAAUGAGAAGAAGUCAUUUCCACAGCUCAAGAAAUCUACUAAUCACUGAAUGACGAGAUGAGAGGCCAUCUGAGGAGAACCAAAAUUAAAAUGGUCUCAACAGCGUCCCGGUGGAUUUCUACAAAAUCUUUUAAUAAAAGCAGCUGGAAUUUCAUCCUGGCUCACCCGCUUUCAUUAUGAGUCCCAAGUACUUCAAUCUUAUUUUUUUUCUUUUUACUACUAGCGCCAAAUAGCAGAGUCUUGAAAAUGCUAGGCAGAUUGUUUGCUUUUCAUUUUGUUCCUUUCUCAGGUUCCUUUUGCAAAUGUGUUUUGGGCUCAGCAUUCCUUAGACAUAUUUCUUUGCCCCUAGUUAUUGACACGAGUGUUUCCCUGGGACCAUGUUUAGCCAUGAAGGCCACUUGGCCACUAAGAUUUAAGGCAUAUUGCUGACUUGGAAGCUACCCUGAGCAUCGCUGCCCUACUGGUAGGUACCCCAAACUUGGGGGCAAGCCACGUCAGAGGUAGCUGUUGGUUUGAAUUGAGGUAAGUCUUGCUCUCAUCCUUUCUCCUAUAGAAAACAGGCAGCCCUUAAAGCCCAGCCCAAUGUCCCCAAAGUGUCCAUCUGCCAAGGGCAGUGUCAUCCCAGCAGUACUCUUUGCUGAUGAAGUCUAGUGGGCACAAGCCUAGGAUAUCAGCUGGCCCAAAGCUGGUGUCUUUCAACAGACCACGCAGCAAAUGGGAAAAUAAUGGGGCUUGGACCCUCAGCCUUGAAUUUCAAUUCCAGUUCUAUCGUUUGGUAGUAAUUAGUAUCCUAAUUAGCUGGGAAGGCUAUUUAGAUACAUUCAGCUUCUGUUUUCUUGUUUUCUAAAAUGGGCUGUUCCUAUAUAACUAGAAAGACUAACCAAAAAAAGACAUUGCUUUAAAUACAAAAACCUAACUGCAGACAUUUCUAAUUUGUGUGGCUGGCAGAAUAAGUCUCUGCGGUGUUUAGGAACUGCCUUCAUUUGGUCUUGAUGAGUCAGCUGGGCUUGAUGAAGAUGAUACCACUUUGGCAGAGCUGCGUGAACUGAGACGUUGGAAAAACCAGAUUUCUAUGCCCAACAACGCAUGAGGAAUACUGUGGCUCUGCAGGUUACUCCCGAUCAGGGGGAAGGGUUCCAUAAACAGAAGAGAGGGAUGGAGAGAGUCAAUAAGGGGCACCCCCAAGAUGUAUGGGAGGCAGGGGCAGGCCCAAUGGGGAAGCUUAUGCACAUGGGGUCCUGCACAAAGAUGGCCAGCAAGUGGGGGCAGGUUAGACAAGGGGGCCUGGAGUUCUGUUCAAGUCAAGCCAAUUAUAUGCCCUGAAUGAAUGACUGCCUUCUCCUUCAGGCAAUGCCACCUAAGGUAGCCACAGCCCUGGGCAGGGGCCUACAAAGAGACACAGCCAUAUGACAAUUCCCAAUCAAAUCAAACGUCAAAUUUGAAGGUAUUUCAAAUUUGUGUGCUGUCCUCUUCCUACAUUCCUCCCUUCCGUACUCCUUACACCUCCAGUAAAUAUGUGCCGCUCACAGUGGACUAUGUGUUAGCGGGGCUGCAGGGAUUACAAGAAGGUAGGUGGUGGCCACCAUGGGGUGAAAUGUCAUGGAAAAAGACAGCAGCUCAAGAAAUGGGAAAUAAUUGUUAUCAACUAGGUUCAGAAAGAGAAAGAAAAAGAGAAAUAGCUGGAGUAAAAAGAUAGAUAAUAUCAGAGCUGCAAGUGACUGAGUUAGGAGAAGAACCACCACCACCCGAACAAAACAAACCAAAUCUGUGGAGAUAUCGAAAAGGGCCCUCGACUCCUGCACCAUGAGAUGUGCAGCCAACUUUGGGAUACGAAAGGGAGGAGGGUGUGAGAGCAUCCCGGUGACACUCAAAGAGUGGCCUCUGUAUACGUUAGCCUCUCCAGCUUAAUGGAAAAACUGGAAUAACAGUACGAAAUUAGAAGGAAAAAAAUCAGGAGCCAAGAGAUUACGCACUGGAGGUGUGUCCACUUGCCUUUCCCAGCCCCACGUGUAGCCUGAUCACCCUUUUCCUCUCCUUCCAUCUCUGACGUCCUUGUGUGUCUGGCAAGGCCAGGCCAGUUGACACAGGAGAAUGUCCAUGUUCCUGGUGUGAAAUACUGAGGCCAUGAUUCUGAGAAAAUGUUCCUCCUUGUAAAUACCCUAGGAAACUAAAUCAGAGGUUUCUUUUCUCAGUGAGUGGCUUUAUUUCCAAGCCUUUUCUGUCUUCAAGAGGUGUGAGUUCACAUUUAUGGCAUGAAACCCAGAAUGGUUCUGUGGGCAUCCUCUAUAGUCAAUGCAGGCUUAAGCUCUCUAUUGUAAAAUUCACGAGACACUGGGGGCCCUUUUGUAUUCUCAAAGCACUUCAGAUCUGGUUAUUGUAAGGAGGCAAGCAACUAAACAUUGCAUGACUGUGUAAAAAUCAAAGGACUAUUCUAGAUGACAGGAGGGCUGCCACAAGGUUUUUAAAUAUCAUCUCAUGUGGCUGAGCUGCUAAAGAGAAAUUGCAAAAUGUAUGUGCCUUAUGACACUUAAAGAGAUACAGUCAAUAUCUUUGAAGCAAUUUGUUUUUUCAGCUAAGAGAAAAUGAAAUAUUUUCGAUUGCCUGGCUCCGUGUGCAGCUGGGACCCAUUCCUGACCAUGGUCCAUUAGUUCCAGCAUGCUUGGGCCUGGCUUUGCCUUUCCAUCUAGGAGAGGAAGGUACCAAAGAAAAGGCUGAUGGGCAGGUUACAGGACACUACUUGCUGUAGUCAUUCCAUCCUCCGCUUGACUAUCCAAAGACCAUUAAUCUCAUCUCAAUGGAUUUGAAGAUUCUAGAAUGGUUGGAUGAUCUGGUAAUGAGAGCAGCUGGAUAAAUACAAAAAUAUCCCCAAAUUGUUUUUUCUUAAGAAGCUCUCUGUUCAUCUGAGUUAAUCAAAAGGUAGAUAGAUGGUAAUUCAGGCCAUGCACCUGCCUUUUAGGCAAAGCAAAUGAUGUAGAUGAAAACUGAAAAUAAUUGCUCCACAAAGUCAGGGAAGGAGGUGGAGUGGGAGGGAAGGGCAAAAGGAGGGAAGAGAAAGACAGAUUAAGUGUAAUAAAUACACACGGAUUAAUUUGUCCCUUUAACCCUGACCUCCACUCCACCCCCAAACACACUGGUGACUGUUGGUAGGUGUGACUAUGAACACGAGUGUGUCUGUAUGAGUCUGUGUGUUUGGGGUAUGCAUGUUGGGGGAGGGUGAACAGGUCAGAGUGCAUUAGAUGUGGGGUAUUUGGGAGUGUGUAUGGGUGUGUAGGGUAUGCACCUAUGAAGGAUGUAUGUAUGGGUGAAUGAAUAAGGGGUGUGGGGCUGUGGGCAUGGGAAGAAAUCAGAAAAGAGAAUGUGUGUGGGAGUAUGCAGGUGAUAUGCAUAGACUACACAUAUGGAGUGUUAUGUUUGUAGGGUGGUGGGUGUGGGUGUGUGUACAUCAGGUGGGAGGUGUGUGCACAAGCUACGUGUAUGCCUCUGGGGUACAUGUUUAAGGUGGGGUAUAUGAAUAGAGACUGAAGGUGGGUAUGGUGGAUAAGAGCAGGGUGGCGUGUCUGUGCAAUGAAAGUGAUGUAUGGGACCCUCUGAAAAGCAAACCAAGCCUUCCUUUGCCUCAGCUGCCCUGCCCUGGGCCCCACUGCAGACUGCAGAGUGUCCUUUCACAGAGAUGUCCCUGUGUGCUCUCAAUAGUCAGUCCCCGGGAACUGCUUCUGAAUCCGAGCUACAGUUGGAAUUCUACACUGUUUCUCCUUUGCUGGGACUCAGAGGACUGAUUUGCUAUGAUUUAUGCGACUAUAGACCUUCAUUUCCUCCAUGGGACUGAUGUCCUGAAUGUGUUCUUUUCUCCUGGUCCAGGGAGAGAAAAGUAUCUCUGGGCCAGAAUUUCUCCUGAUAAAUCAUCAUCAUCAUCAUCAUCAUCAUCACCAUCAUCAUUGUCGUUAUCGUCGUCAUCAUCAUCGUCAUCAUCAUUCCCACGUGUUGCAGAGCACUUGACAUUUACUGCGUGUCAUCAUCUCACUGCACUGCCACGUAAUAAAUAAGCUAAGGACACACUGUCUUUUUCGAAAGGUUAGAUUUGUAGCAUAAAAUACAUAGUUCUAUAGCAUAAAAUUUGCUAACAAAUCCAUGCAAGUCAAGGAAAAACCUGUCUGAAGAGAGUAAAUCCAAAGAGUUCUCAUCACAAGGAGAAAUUUUUUUUCCCUUUUUCUCUUCUUCUUUCUUUUUAUUGUAUCUCUAUGAGAAGACGGAUGUUAUCCAAACCUGUGGUCAUCAUUUCACAAUAUAUGUAACUCAAACCAUCAUGCUGUACACCUUAAACUUAUACAGUGAUGCAUGUCAAUUAUUUUCAAUAAAACUGGAAAAAAAGAAAGAGAAAAAAUUGUCUGAAAUCCUAGGCCGAGGAGAACGAGAGAUGUGCAAAUCGACACACGCUCUCUGUUUCUUGUCCAAAGCCUCAAUCCAUUCAAGGUCUUGUUUGUUUCUACCCUUCCAUGAAAAGUCUUUUAAUACAGCUUCAAUUUCUUUACCCCUUAUACCACCUCCCUCUACUGCAAAAUUAAUACUCCAUAAUAUUUCUCUGGAUGGUUACGUAGAUAAAUAUAACCUUGGUUGUCAUUUUCAGAGUGUCAAUAGACGCAUUGCAAAGCUGCUGAUGAUAAUAAUAAGCACACUGUGCCUCCGUGUUUCUGAUGGAACCCGGCAGAGAGGAGCUGGUUAUAGCGUCUGUCUCAGGGGCACAGCAGACUUUUUCAAAGGCCUCCACAUUUCCACUUCACAAACAUCCAUUCCCAGGAAAGCAAAACAGGAAUUUCUCAAGGACAACAAAACAGCAGCAAUGAGGUAAUUUGCAGACAAAGAUAUUGCACAUGUGCCAAACCUUUGAUAUUGAAGUCUAAGCUCCACCUAUUUAAAGCAGUGUUGCCAAUGGCACCUCACAGUUCCACAAAGUAUUUUCUCCAAGGAAGGGAGAAAGGAAAAUGGCAGCAAGGACUGUAAACUGCCCCUGUUUGUGCAGUGAAAUUUUCUCUGACUAUAACGGAGUGAAAAGCUGGAAGGUUAUUCAAAUACACAGGGAACUCGCUUCUUGCUUUUAUGGCCCAGUGACUUCGUUAUCCUUCUGCAUGAGGAAUAGGAGUGACAAAUGUCCUCAAAAUUUGCAUCUCCAUCAUCCAAGCCUCCACUGGGCAGGAGGGAAGCAGCUCCGAUGCCUUGAGGCAAAUUGUUCAUCUGGAGCACUCCAUGUGGCUUCUGGACUAAGUCUUUCUGAAUGUCAGAAGGCUGCAUAGCUAUUACAGAGACCCAGAUGGCAGAUCAUGCCACACCUCUCUCCUGGCACUGUCCUGGGGCCGUGUCCAGGGAGGCGCAGAUGCUACACCAUCGCUAAAGCUGGACUCAUCCCCACGAUAGGACUGGGGCUAGGAACAUUAUGAUCAGGUUGAGAGGGUAAGAUCAUUUGAUUAAAUGCAAGGAACUUGUUGACAGGUUGGAACACUAUUUUUCCCUUUGUGGAAUUGUUUCAAAGACUGAUUUAGACUUCAUAGAGUAACAGUAAUCAGCUCAUUCAGGAAUGAGGAUACAAACAAAGUGUGGACACGAAAUGUGUCAGAGCACACGUGUAAAUGCCAUCCAUCCAUGCACUCUGCAAGCAUGUGUUGAGAGCCUGCAGUGGCUGAGCAUGGGUCUUAGAGUUGGGAAUCUGGAGAUGUCUAUAUCAGAUCCUGCACACUCAAGAAGCUCAGAGAUGGGGGCCGGCCCGGGG